Molecule: RNA transcript, 938 nt
Organism: Cannabis sativa
Lineage: Eukaryota; Viridiplantae; Streptophyta; Magnoliopsida; Rosales; Cannabaceae
Exons: 2
Source: RefSeq, a predicted model, not a curated record
AGGUGCCACUAACGAGUUCUGACAUUACAAGACAACACAGACAGACAAGGUCAAAUAAUUAUCGAAAAAAAAUUCCUUAACCAACCAAAUAAACCGACUUUCGGCAUUUCACAACAAAUUCAAUUCAACCCACCAACCUAAAAUCACACCUAAGAAAAACCCAGUUCCUGUUUUUUUCAUUUUCAGAGAAAUAAUCAGAAAAAGGGGACAUUUUUGAAUUUGAAAAUGGUGUUCAACAGUUUGCUGGUUGUAUCGGUUGCACACGUGUCAGCCGAUGCCUGGCAAUGCCUUGCUUGCUUCCCUGAAAGACUCAGUAGCCGUCAGCUAUUGGAUCUCGUCUUCUGUUUUCCUUUGCAGCAAUUGGGUCGUUUUGCUCUUUGUCUAUGGACUUUUCUUUGUCUUCCUCCACCGGAUUCAUUUUACUCUUAUUCUUACUCUUCUGAUGGUGAUUCUGAUGAUUCUUCCACCACCGUUGAUUAUGAUGACUUUUAUUACCAUUCUCAUUCUGAUUGACAAGCUUUUGUACAGAGUUGCAUCAAAGGAAGUAUUUACAACACUUGGUCACUUGUUCAAAGUAAGACACAUACAAAGCAACAAUAAAUUCUCACUUUCUUGAUUUGGAAAGCAAACAAGUUUAUUAAGUUGUUGAUUGGUGAGUCACUCAAGUCAUGUUCAUGAGUACUUAGGCUCUUCUUUAGUUACUUAUAUUAUAUAUACACACAUUUAUAAAUAUAUAUAUCAUCUCAUUGUUUCUGUUCUGCUGAUUGAUUGUGUACAGAAGAUCUUACUGUUAGUAUUAUGAUUGUGACCUCACUCACAUGGUGUUUUGUCUAUAUGCUCAACAACAAUGAUGAUCAUUUAUUUUCUAUAGUUUGUAGCAUUAAGAAUCCAAGUUAUUUUUAUUAAUGGGUAAAAGUACUUAAAUUAUUAUGUUCGUA